UACGUAGGGUGCAAGCGUUGUCCGGAAUUAUUGGGCGUAAAGAGCUCGUAGGCGGUUUGUCGCGUCGGAUGUGAAAACCCGGGGCUUAACCCCGGGCCUGCAUUCGAUACGGGCUGACUAGAGUACGGCAGGGGAGACUGGAAUUCCUGGUGUAGCGGUGAAAUGCGCAGAUAUCAGGAGGAACACCGGUGGCGAAGGCGGCAUCCUGGACCGAUACUGACGCUGAGGAGCGAAAGCCAGGGGAGCAAACGGG
RNAcentral lists this ribosomal RNA (253 nucleotides) under uncultured bacterium. RNAcentral describes it as "partial 16S ribosomal RNA". It matches the Rfam family "Bacterial small subunit ribosomal RNA", at positions 524 to 776 of the family's 1533-position model. The record is from RNAcentral.